GCAGUGGUGGUUCAGUGGUAGAGUUCUCACCUUCCUUGCAGGAGACCUGGGUUUGACUCCCAGCCAACGCA
This 71-nucleotide transfer RNA is filed under the name Loxodonta africana (African savanna elephant). It matches the Rfam family "tRNA". Rfam says of the family: Transfer RNA (tRNA) molecules are approximately 80 nucleotides in length. Their secondary structure includes four short double-helical elements and three loops (D, anti-codon, and T loops). Further hydrogen bonds mediate the characteristic L-shaped molecular structure. tRNAs have two regions of fundamental functional importance: the anti-codon, which is responsible for specific mRNA codon recognition, and the 3' end, to which the tRNAs corresponding amino acid is attached (by aminoacyl-tRNA synthetases). tRNAs cope with the degeneracy of the genetic code in two manners: having more than one tRNA (with a specific anti-codon) for a particular amino acid; and 'wobble' base-pairing, i.e. permitting non-standard base-pairing at the 3rd anti-codon position. Lineage: Eukaryota; Metazoa; Chordata; Mammalia; Proboscidea; Elephantidae. The record is from Rfam by way of RNAcentral.